CUGGUUGCAGAGGGUGUGGGAGACACUUUCUUGCACUGUGAGAAGCAGUGUACGUUUCUCUUCAUUUGCAGAUGGGCUCCUGGACUCAGGGGAGGAACCCCAUGAGUCCUCCCUCUGCUGAGCAGGCGCUGGGCCCAUCUUUGUCUUGAUGGAUGACAACCCUUCUGCCGUUGCCAUUGCUAGAAGGCUGGGGACAUCUCUGGCCGGAACAGGCCACUGUGGAGAGAAGGCAGUUAGUAGGAGAGUGGCCCGUGGGGAAGACCUAUCCUGAGGAGAAAGGUACAUGAAGUCUCCUGUUGACUCUAAUAACCUUCAAAGACCCUUCCAGCAGCUGCUAUGAUGAGUCUUGGAAGCCAGACAGAGGUAGAUAAUUGUUGAACAGUGGUAA
Molecule: long non-coding RNA, 388 nt
Filed under: Meriones unguiculatus (Mongolian gerbil)
Lineage: Eukaryota; Metazoa; Chordata; Mammalia; Rodentia; Muridae
Description: lncRNA (ENSMUGG00000007390.1)
Source: RNAcentral